Molecule: ribosomal RNA, 163 nt
Filed under: uncultured bacterium
Lineage: Bacteria
Description: partial 16S ribosomal RNA
Rfam family: Bacterial small subunit ribosomal RNA
Source: RNAcentral
UAGGGAAUUUUCGUCAAUGGGCGCAAGCCUGAACGAGCGAUGCCGCGUGAGUGAAGAAGGCCUUCGGGUCGUAAAGCUCUGUUGCGGGGGAAAAAAGGCAGCAUCAAGGAAAUGGGUGCUGACUGAUGGUGCCCCGCCAGAAAGUCACGGCUAACUACGUGCC